CUUAACCAUUUCUAAGAGACCCUUAAAAUCGACUGGAAAUGCCUCCCUCUAUCACCUCCUGAAAGGAUCCGGUCUACUUGCAAAUAACCCUGUAUAUUUCGUUUAUUUUAGGUGUUCUGAUCCCGUCCCGCAUGGGGAAGCACCCGGUGCUGUUAUACAAUAAUUAUUCAUACAAUUUCGUUAAUAACAAGACCGAAGAGAAACUUUGGUACUGCAUUAAGCGUGGCAGGCUGCAGUGUAAAGCUUACGUCAAAACGCACAAAGAAACUCCGGAGACUCCAUACGAAGUAAAUGAAGUACACAAUCACCAGCCUGCACGGUACCACAUCACUAAGACAGGACAAUAUAUCCUGAUUUGAAUUUCAGUCUCAAUGAAGACAUAACAUCUGUAAAUAGAGGUCGUCUUAUACCGUCCAGACAUGGCAAGCACCCGGUAUUAUUGUACAAUCGCUACCCAUACCAGCACGUGAACAGUGGAACAAAAGAGAAGCUACUGUGGUACUGUAUUAAACGUGCCAAGCUGCAGUGUAAAGCUUAUAUCAAAAGCAACAAAGAAACCCCGGAAACUCCAUUCGAAGUAAAUGAAGUACACAACCACCAGCCUUCACAGUACCACGUCACAAAAGAAGGAAAAUAUAUCAUAAUAUGAAUAUCGAUUUCGAUGAAGACAUAACGUAGUUAUUGGUGGUAUAAAUUUGUAAGAAGAGUCUACAUACAUUAAUAAAUAAUUAUAUUACACAGGAAAUCAA
Plutella xylostella (diamondback moth) is the source of this 749-nucleotide non-coding RNA. Lineage: Eukaryota; Metazoa; Arthropoda; Insecta; Lepidoptera; Plutellidae. The record is from RefSeq and is a predicted model, not a curated record.